Molecule: ribosomal RNA, 698 nt
Filed under: Eysarcoris guttigerus
Lineage: Eukaryota; Metazoa; Arthropoda; Insecta; Hemiptera; Pentatomidae
Description: partial 16S ribosomal RNA
Source: RNAcentral
AUUGAAUUUAAUUCAGGAUUAAAUGUUAUAUUGUAUAAUUUAAUUUAUAUUUUAUAUUUUAAUCUAAAAUUAAUAAGGAUAAGCUUAUUAAUUAAUUUAUAAUCUUAAUAUUUUGUUUAAAUUUUGUAGGAUUAAAAAUUUCCAUCAUUUAUUUUGUUAUAAUUAAUUUUAAUUUAUAUUUUAUUUUAGUUAGGUUUAAAUUUUUAUUAAAAAUAAUUAUUUAAUAAAAUAAAUAAUUGUUAUAAUGAUAAAAUUAGUAAGUAAUAUAAUUAAUAUAUAGUAAUUCGGCAAAAUUAUCCUUCACCUGUUUAACAAAAACAUGUUCUAAUGUUUAAAUUUUAUUAGAUUUGACCUGCUCAAUGAUAUUAAUUAAAUAGCCGCAGUAUUUUGACUGUGCGAAGGUAGCAUAAUCAAUUGUCUUUUAAUUGAAGGCUUGUAUGAAAGGUCGGAUGAGGGGAUAACUUUCUUUAUAUUAAAAUAUUGAAUUUAAUAUUUAAGUUAAAAAGCUUAAAUUUUUAAAAGGGACGAGAAGACCCUAUAGAAUUUUAUAUUAUUUAUAAAUUAAUUAUUUUGGUUAGUUUUUAAAUAAUUUUAUAAAUAAUAUUUUGUUGGGGUGACAGUGAGAUUUAUUAAACUCUUAUAAUUUAUAUUAUUGUUGAUUAACAUAUUUAUGAUCCUGAUUAUUUGGAUAAUUAGAU